This 439-nucleotide ribosomal RNA is filed under the name uncultured bacterium. Its description in RNAcentral is "partial 16S ribosomal RNA". It matches the Rfam family "Bacterial small subunit ribosomal RNA", at positions 339 to 795 of the family's 1533-position model. The record is from RNAcentral.
CUACGGGUGGCAGCAGUGAGGAAUAUUGCACAAUGGGGGGAACCCUGAUGCAGCAACGCCGCGUGGAGGAUGACGCAUUUCGGUGUGUAAACUCCUUUUAUAUGUCAAGAAAAUGACGGUAGCAUAUGAAUAAGCACCGGCUAACUCCGUGCCAGCAGCCGCGGUAAUACGGAGGGUGCAAGCGUUACUCGGAAUCACUGGGCGUAAAGGACGCGUAGGCGGGUUGGAAAGUCAGGUGUGAAAUCCUACAGCUUAACUGUAGAACUGCACUUGAAACUUCUAAUCUAGAGUAUGGGAGGGGGGGAUGGAAUUAGGGGUGUAGGGGUAAAAUCCGUAGAUAUCACUAGGAAUACCUAAAGCGAAGGCGAUCUCCUGGAACAUUACUGACGCUAAGGCGUGAAAGCGUGGGGAGCAAACAGGAUUAGAUACCCUUGUAGUC